This 248-nucleotide ribosomal RNA is filed under the name uncultured bacterium. Its description in RNAcentral is "partial 16S ribosomal RNA". It matches the Rfam family "Bacterial small subunit ribosomal RNA", at positions 107 to 353 of the family's 1533-position model. The record is from RNAcentral.
UGAGUAACACGUAUCCAACCUGCCGUCUACUCUUGGACAGCCUUCUGAAAGGAAGAUUAAUACAAGAUGGCAUCAUGAGUCCGCAUGUUCACAUGAUUAAAGGUAUUCCGGUAGACGAUGGGGAUGCGUUCCAUUAGAUAGUAGGCGGGGUAACGGCCCACCUAGUCUUCGAUGGAUAGGGGUUCUGAGAGGAAGGUCCCCCACACUGGAACUGAGACACGGCCCAGACUCCUACGGGAGGCAGCAUG